ACCCGGCUGACGAGCCCCAAGCAGGACGAAACGCACGUCCUGGAU
This is a non-coding RNA of Schistosoma curassoni, 45 nucleotides long. Lineage: Eukaryota; Metazoa; Platyhelminthes; Trematoda; Strigeidida; Schistosomatidae. The record is from Rfam.